ACGACAGAGGAUGAAAUGGUUGGAUGGCAUCACCGACUCAGUGGACGUGACUUUGAGUAAACUCCGGAGUUGGUGAUGGACAGGGAGGCCUGGUGUGCUGCAGUCCAUGGAGUAGCAAAGAGUCCACCGACACGACUAAGCCACUGAACUGAUUGGUUUCUAAAAAAGAAGUUUGGAUUUUCAGAUGUUUGGAUUUUUCCAUUAAAGAGACUUUGAAAGGACCAAAUAGAAGGCAUUGGCAACAUUUACAGAAGUGGCCAUGAAUUUUACCUGGGGCAGCAGGGACUGAACAGAUGGCUGACCACAGGGGCACGAUGCUGGGGACUUACAGACCCUACUCACCACUGAGCACCAGGACAGCAAACCAAGGACUUUCCUGGUGAUCCAGUGGUUAGAACUCCAUGCAGGGGGCACAGGUUCGAUCCCUGGUCGGGGGAACUAACAUCCUGCAAGUCAAGUGGCUCAUCCAAAAAACAAACAAACAAAAAGACAGCAAACCAGAUGUGAUCUGUAAGUUGAAACAAGGAGGAAAGCUAUGGACAAAGGAGGGAGAAAUGUGAGGUAGGUGCUAACUGGCAGGUUCCCUCCCAGAACCUGAGAGGGAAAAGAUUUGUAUGUGAGAUUUCUGUAAUAUAAAGAGCUCACCUUAUGGCAAAACUAAGGAGCCCACCUUCUGGUAAAAACAUUUGUGAAGAUGUGUCUAUUCCUUCAUAAUAUUGAAAGACUCAUAAGGAACAGCUUAUGACUUUUUUUGAAAAGAUGAUGACUUGACAGACUGACAAUAGAACAGGUGAGCUUUCCACCCCAGACAUGUUCUCUUACAGGAAAAUCCAGACCAAGGUGAGAAUGCUGGAAAACAUGUUGGUGUGAGGGCUUCCCUGGUGGCUCAGUUAGUAAAGAAUCUGCCUGCAAUGCAAGAGAUGCAGGUUCAAUUCCUGGGUUGGGAAGAUCCCCUGAAGAGAGGCAUAGUAAUCCAUUCCAGUAUUCUUGCCUGGAGAAUCCCAUGGACUGAGGAGCCUGGAAGGCUACAGUCCAUAGGUGUCGGGAGCGGCGUUAGGCAUUACUGACAAAAUAGAGGCACGGCCCUAAACCCCCUCCCUUUGUUCUGUAGGCAUGGACCCAGAAUGAAGGAGUUAGGCUUUGUGAUUCUGACUUGUUUUUCCCUUUCCUCGGCUGAGUUGACUGAAGAGAAUAUUAAGGUGCUUAUUGUUUUUGAGAGGAGCAUGAGAAGGCAUAAAGCCUUCUGCAGCUGUGCUCAAAGAAUAAUUCAUAAAGUUAAUCACUGCCAUUUGUUCAAGGACUUUUACAAAAAAGUAUUCCAGGGUGAGCACACAGGCUGCAGCUUGAGGCCAUGGGAGGGAUUGUUAUCUGAAGCCCAUUUGUGAGAAAAGUUUAUGGCAAAGGAGUUUGCUGAAUUUAGGGCUUAGGAAUAAUUAAAAUAGUUAGAAGCUAAAGAUUUAAGGAUUGCUGUAGUGUUAGCAUAUUCUACUAUAGCUUAUAGAAAUUAGGGACUUUAGAGAUAUUAUUAGGUAGAAGCCCUCUCUAAGAAAUAGUGAGCUUAGGAUACUAGGGGCAAACAGGACUUAGAAAGAUAAGAAUUAAACUGAAGAAUGUGAUAUGCAGCCCAGACAUUAGCAUGAGUUACAGUGUAUUCACAAGGAC
This is a long non-coding RNA of Bubalus bubalis (water buffalo), 1662 nucleotides long. RefSeq lists it as uncharacterized. The record is from RefSeq and is a predicted model, not a curated record. NCBI's taxonomy places the organism in Eukaryota, Metazoa, Chordata, Mammalia, Artiodactyla, Bovidae. The transcript is spliced from 3 exons.